Molecule: ribosomal RNA, 253 nt
Filed under: uncultured bacterium
Lineage: Bacteria
Description: partial 16S ribosomal RNA
Rfam family: Bacterial small subunit ribosomal RNA
Source: RNAcentral
GACAGAGGCCCCAAGCGUUAGGCGGAAUCACUGGGCUUAAAGCGGGUGUAGGCGGACGCCUAAGUGUCUUGUGAAAUCCCACGGCUCACCCGUGGAACUGCUGGGCAUACUGGGCGUCUUGGGCCAACUAGGGGCAGCCGGAACAAGCGGUGGAGCGGUGAAAUGCGUAGAUAUCGCUUGGAACGCCGAAGGUGAAAACAGGCUGCUGGGGUUGCGCCGACGCUGAGACACGAAAGCCAGGGGAGCAAACGGG